CAGCAGCCGCGGUAAUACCGGCGGCCCGAGUGGCGGCCACUAUUAUUGGGCUUAAAGCGUCCGUAGCCGGGUUGGUUAGUCUCCCGGGAAAUCUGGCCGCUUAACGGUCAGAAUUCCGGGAGAUACUGCCAGCCUAGGGACCGGGAGAGGCCGAGGGGAUUCCCGGAGUAGGGGUGAAAUCCUAUAAUCCCGGGAGGACCACCUGUGGCGAAGGCGCUCGGCUGGAACGGGUCCGACGGUGAGGGACGAAGGCCAGGGGAGCAAACCGGAUUAGAUACCCGGGUAGUCCUGGCGGUAAACGAUGCGGACUUUGUGUCGGACAAGCUAUGAGCUUGUCCGGUGCCGGAGGGAAACCGUUAAGUCCGCCGCCUGGGGAGUACGGCCGCAAGGCUGAAACUUAAAGGAAUUGGCGGG
Molecule: ribosomal RNA, 414 nt
Filed under: uncultured microorganism
Description: bacterial SSU rRNA
Rfam family: Archaeal small subunit ribosomal RNA
Source: RNAcentral